AUUGAACGCUGGCGGCAGGCCUAACACAUGCAAGUCGAGCGGAUGAAGGGAGCUUGCUCCUGGAUUCAGCGGCGGACGGGUGAGUAAUGCCUAGGAAUCUGCCUGGUAGUGGGGGAUAACGUCCGGAAACGGGCGCUAAUACCGCAUACGUCCUGAGGGAGAAAGUGGGGGAUCUUCGGACCUCACGCUAUCAGAUGAGCCUAGGUCGGAUUAGCUAGUUGGUGGGGUAAAGGCCUACCAAGGCGACGAUCCGUAACUGGUCUGAGAGGAUGAUCAGUCACACUGGAACUGAGACACGGUCCAGACUCCUACGGGAGGCAGCAGUGGGGAAUAUUGGACAAUGGGCGAAAGCCUGAUCCAGCCAUGCCGCGUGUGUGAAGAAGGUCUUCGGAUUGUAGAGCACUUUAAGUUGGGAGGAAGGGCAGUAAGUUAAUACCUUGCUGUUUUGACGUUACCAACAGAAUAAGCACCGGCUAACUUCGU
RNAcentral lists this ribosomal RNA (483 nucleotides) under uncultured bacterium. RNAcentral describes it as "partial 16S ribosomal RNA". It matches the Rfam family "Bacterial small subunit ribosomal RNA", at positions 30 to 506 of the family's 1533-position model. The record is from RNAcentral.